This 3477-nucleotide long non-coding RNA is filed under the name Capsella rubella. Its description in RNAcentral is "long non-coding RNA (CRUB_LNC002113)". The record is from RNAcentral. Lineage: Eukaryota; Viridiplantae; Streptophyta; Magnoliopsida; Brassicales; Brassicaceae.
AAAAUUUUAAAAUCUUGAUUGGUUAAAAUGAAUUUUUGGAAAACAAAAACCAAAAUCUCUCUCGAAAUCUGUAAAACAUUCAAGGUUUAUAUUUUACAUAAAUAUGAUUUAACGGGUUUGAGUAUUAUGUUUUUCUUACGGGUUAUCUUACGGGUUAACAAAAAAAUAAAUAACAAAUAUAACUUAAACAUAAUUUUUUUAGUCCCGCGAGUUACAAAAAAAAUAACAAUCAAAAAUAUAAUUACACAAUCUUAAACAUUUCUGAAGUACCUUUUGCAUUUAUUCCAGGGCGUUUAGUAACUGAUAACAUUAUGAUCGCUCAUGAAGUCAUGCAUGCAUUAAAAUCUAGAAAAAGAGUUUCAAAGAAUUAUAUGGCUAUUAAAACAGAUGUCACAAAGGCUUAUGAUAGGGUUGAAUGGGGGUUUUUAGAGGUUACUAUGCAACUGUUUGGUUUCUCUUCUACGUGGAUCAAUUGGAUUAUGGCUUCAGUUCGAUCUGUAAGUUACUCUAUCCUCAUUAAUGGUUCCCCUCAUGGUAUGGUUCUUCCGGAACGUGGUAUUCGACAAGGCGAUCCUCUUUCUCCUUACUUAUUCAUUUUGUGUGCGGAUAUAAUGAGUCAUUUAAUCAACAAAAGAGUUCAAGAUGGCGACAUUCGAGGUAUUAGAAUUGGUAAUGGAGUACCGGCCAUUACACAUCUACAAUUUGCGAACGAUUCUCUUUUCUUUUGUCAAGCAAAUUCUCGGAACUGUAAAGCAAUCAAGGAAGCUUUUGAAGUGUAUGAAUAUUAUUCGGGACAAAAAAUUAAUACUUCAAAGUCCCUUAUAACUUUUGGUUCUAAGGUUCAUGGUCAUCAUCAAAAUCGUUUAAAAAAUAUUUUACAAAUCCCAAAUCAUGGGGGUGGAGGCAAGUACCUUGGACUAGCUGAGCAGUUUGGUAGGAAGAAAAAAGAUAUGUUUAACUACAUUCUACAAAAGGUUAAACAGAGGACAGCUUCUUGGAGUACAACAAAAUUAUCACCGGCUGGAAAAGAAAUUAUGCUUAAGUCUGUUGCUCUUGCAAUGCCCGUAUAUUCUAUGUCUUGUUUCAAAAUUCCAGCGACUAUUAUAAAUGAAAUAGAAUCUGAGUUACAACGUUUCUGGUGGGAAAAAGAAAACCAAGAGAGAGGAAUUCCAUGGGUAGCUUGGAAAAGACUUCAAUACACAAAAAGUGAAGGUGGAUUAGGUUUUAAAAAUUUAUCAAAGUUUAAUGAUGCUCUUUUAGCAAAACAAGCCUGGAGAAUUUAUAAACAUCCAAAUACACUCUUUGCUCGGGUUAUGAAAGCUAGAUACUUUAAAGAUGAUUCGAUUUUAGAGGCUAAGAAGCGUGUUAAUCAAUCCUAUGGGUGGUCUUCUAUUUUAGAAGGUCUUAAACUCAUAAAAUUAGGAACUCGUUAUAUUAUUGGCGAUGGUGAAACUGCUAGAAUUAAUGUUGAUAAUGUUAUUCCCUCUCAUCCCCCUCGACCUAUUCAUGGAGUAAUUAACACUGACACAUGCUACUUUAAAGAUUUAAUAUCUAUUGUUGGUAGUUAUAGAUACUGGGAUUUAGCUAAGGUUUCUGAAAAAAUUCCUUUAAUGGACCAUACUAAUAUUAAAAACAUGUAUUUAUCUAGGAUUUCUACUCCUGAUAAACUUAUAUGGCAUUAUAAUAAGUCGGGGGAUUAUUCUGUUCGUUCGGGAUAUUGGUUAGCUACUCAUGAUCCAUCUUUAAUUAUGGAAAACCCUCCUGUACCCCAUGGUUCCAUUAAGCUAAAAAAUAAAAUCUGGAAACUGAAUAUUCUUCCAAAAAUAAAACAUUUCAUUUGGAGAGUCUUAUCAAAAGCUAUACCAUCUAUAACUCGUCUUAUUAGUCGUGGAAUGCAUUUGGAUCCUAUUUGUCCGCGAUGUUUUCGGGAUGAUGAGACAAUUGAACAUAUUUUUUAUUCUUGUCCCCAUGCCAAGUUAAUUUGGGAUUUUUCACCCUUUCCUUUAAAUCUUUUGUUAGCUUCUUCCUCUAAUUGUGAGAGCUUUAUUGAAGCUUUAUUAUUUUUACAAACAGAUAAUACUUUAACUCAGGAAACAAAGUUAUUUCCAUUUUGGCUUCUUUGGCAUAUCUGGAAAUCUAGGAAUAAUUUCAUUUUUAAUGGUGUUGAGGAAUAUCCUAUUAAUAUUGUUCAACGGGCUAAAGGAGAUGUUCUUGAUUGGUUAACUUAUAACGUUUCUACAACAACUAACCAUGUACAUCAGAGUCCUAAUCAUAAUAUGACUUGGACGCGACCAAAGGAAGACAUUCUUAAAUGUAAUUACGACGCAGCUUUCGAUUAUAACACUAACCAUGUCCACGGAGGCUGGAUUAUUCGUGAUAAAAAUGGUGGUUCUAAUGGAUGGGGAUCUUCUCGUCUGGGACAAGCCUUAUCGCCGUUAGAAGCUGAAGCAAAGGCUCUGCUCGCAGCAAUGCAACAGAGUUGGAUUAAAGGGAUUCGAAAAAUAUGCUUUGAAGGAGAUUGUGAGAUUUUGAAUCGGAUUAUUAAUCAUCAAUUCAUUGAUACCUCUAUAGAAUGUAUUAUUCAAGAUAUUCGUUUUUGGUCUUCUUGUUUUCAGUUCAUAGAUUUCUCUUUCACUCCUAGGAGGUAUAAUAAUGUUGCACAUUUAUUAGCAAAGUUUGGUUGUAUUUCCUCUAGUUUUUUUUCUGAUUGUUUUAAUCCGCCACAAUGGCUUUCUGAACAAUUGUGUAUUGAUUACAUUACUUCAUCUAUAUAAUUCUAUUUUGACGAAAAAAAAAAACCUUUUAUUUUGUAUUAUUUGCAUAAUAAAUCCUUGCCAUUUAAAUAAAUAACAAAAUUUUAAGAUAAAAUUUGUAAUUAAAUUACACUAGAAUCGCAAAAUUAGAAACUAAUAUUUAUUACAUUUAACAAAAUUUCCUAAAAUAUCUCCCUAAUAAAUUGAAUAUCUCUCCAAUAUCUUUAUAUGAUCUUAUUUGUUUUAAAAUUCACAUUAUUACAUAAAACAUAAGUAUAAUAAAAAUACAAAAAAAAUUUCGCAUAUAUAGCAAUUUGAAUUUUUGAAAACGGACAUAUAUUACUCAAUCGAUAAAAGAAAAAACAUAUAUGUAUAACAUCCCACAUCGGGUAUAAAAUUUUAGACAAUUGUUCGGAACCAUUAUAAAUAUGACUAAUAUGAAACUUAAAAAUCCAAAAUCUUGAAUAGAAGAUUACAACAAAAAAAGUUUUACUAAAUUUUAGGGAAUCCAAAAUUUUAAAAUCUUGAUUGGUUAAAAUGAAUUUUUGGAAAACAAAAACCAAGAUCUCUCUCGAAAUCUGUAAAACAUUCAAGGUUUACAUUUUACAUAAAUAUGAUUUAACGGGUUUGAGUAUUAUGUUUUUCUUACGGGUUAUCUUACGGGUUAACAAAAUAAAUAAAUAACAAAUAUAACUUAAACAUAAUUUUUUUAGUCCCGCGAGUU